UAAAAGUAGCAAUACUUGGUGGCGACCGGCGCACGGGUGAGUAACGCGUAUGCAACCUACCUAUCGAGAGGGGAAGUAACCCGGCGAAAGUACGGACUAAUACCGCAUAAAACAGGGGCACCGCAUGGUGAUAUUUGUUAAAGAAAUUCGCUGAUAGAUGGGCAUGCGUUCCAUUAGGUAGUUGGUGAGGUAACGGCUCACCAAGCCGACGAUGGAUAGGGGAACUGAGAGGUUGGUCCCCCACACUGGUACUGAGACACGGACCAGACUCCUACGGGAGGCAGCAGUGAGGAAUAUUGGUCAAUGGGCGAGAGCCUGAACCAGCCAAGUCGCGUGAAGGAAGAAGGAUCUAUGGUUCGUUUAAACUUCUUUUGCAGGGGAAUAAAGUGCAGGACGUGUCCUGUUUUGUAUGUACCCUGAGAAUAAGGAUCGGCUAACUCCGUGCCAGCAGCGGC
Molecule: ribosomal RNA, 455 nt
Filed under: uncultured bacterium
Lineage: Bacteria
Description: bacterial SSU rRNA
Rfam family: Bacterial small subunit ribosomal RNA
Source: RNAcentral